UAAGUUCCAAGAGGGAAUUCCCCUCCAUUCAAUCGGCCCGGCGUUACUGCACACCACCAAGUGUCGAAGUGCUAUUGCAUCUCGAAAGAAUUGGAACUUUUGGUGUUGUUUUACCUCUAAAGAUCUGAUUAUUGAUACUCCUGCGUGCAUAAGUUCAUCACCAUGUUGCCUGCAGAAGAAGAACACUGAUAUGAACGGGUGGAGUACCUUUUAGGAGAGUACAACUUCAUCGGAGUUGGUUUGUCUGGUAUUCAGCUAAGCAGCUCAUGGCAAGUCAGUGGAUGAGGUUACUAAACCCUUGUCAGAAGAACACUGAAAUUCUGUACUAAAUGCCCAUCAAAGCGGUGGUAUUCAACAAUAGGUCCGAUGUUGAUCGAAUGUAUACGUAGGAGUGUAGGACUAUAGCGAAGGAUAGCACAUAACGAAAAGGAAACUCGUCAAAACCUCAAUAACAUUUACCUGUACCAGUUACUGAUCCGUAGAGCAACACGAGUAGCCGAGUAAGCUUCUGUUGCAAUGACAGCGUG
RNAcentral lists this long non-coding RNA (527 nucleotides) under Hordeum vulgare. RNAcentral describes it as "long non-coding RNA (HVUL_LNC005197)". The record is from RNAcentral. Lineage: Eukaryota; Viridiplantae; Streptophyta; Magnoliopsida; Poales; Poaceae.